CGGGUGAGUAACACGUGGGUGAUCUGCCCUGCACUUUGGGAUAAGCCUGGGAAACUGGGUCUAAUACCGAAUAGGAUCAUGCUCUUCAUGGGGUGUGGUGGAAAGCUUUUGCGGUGUGGGAUGGGCCCGCGGCCUAUCAGCUUGUUGGUGGGGUAAUGGCCUACCAAGGCGACGACGGGUAGCCGGCCUGAGAGGGUGACCGGCCACACUGGGACUGAGAUACGGCCCAGACUCC
RNAcentral lists this ribosomal RNA (235 nucleotides) under uncultured bacterium. RNAcentral's name for it is "partial 16S ribosomal RNA". It matches the Rfam family "Bacterial small subunit ribosomal RNA", at positions 103 to 339 of the family's 1533-position model. The record is from RNAcentral.